CCCUUGGUGCUUGUUUGUUUGCAAUGUUAUGAGCAUUCACCUGAUGAGUGCAAAGUCUUUGGUUGGAGUAGUUGGAGUUGCACAAAAGGAAAAGAAGGGGCGGGAUGUGUAUGUUAUGGUGAGCUUCUUGAUGGGAAUUCUGGAAGUUUACUUAGUACUGAGCAGCAAAUCCAUGCUCCAGCUAAUUUAAUAAAGGGCACACACCAAAUGCUUUCACAAGCAAUAUAGUGCUUUUAACAGAUCACACAGUUUUGCUUUUCUGGGCCAUGCAAAUACUGAAAGGCACUUUGCAUUGUGUCUUCAUCAAGAUUGGGUAUCAAGGUGGGCUUUGCUUAAAAAUUAGGAUCAAGAAGGUUGGUAUGCGGAGAUAAUAAUAAAGGCAUACGGAGAAAGCUUGCCUUGACCACACUGCGUAAAUAGUACUAUCGUAUCCAGUAGUUGGUGACUUAUUUUGGUAACCUCCUUGAUUGUACAAGAUAGACAAUAUUACUUGCUAGAUUGAGGUUACUUUUGGUUAGGAUUGCUGGAUUUGAUCAUAUCUGGAUAUGGAUACGUACUUUUGGAAAUGUUUUGGAUUGGCAAUGUAAGAACAGAUGACAUUGAUAUAUGACAAUGUUAUAUUUUGGAUUUGUUCAGGAUAUGAAUGUUCAUAUUUGCAACAA
Rosa chinensis is the source of this 662-nucleotide long non-coding RNA. RefSeq lists it as uncharacterized. The transcript is spliced from 4 exons. Lineage: Eukaryota; Viridiplantae; Streptophyta; Magnoliopsida; Rosales; Rosaceae. The record is from RefSeq and is a predicted model, not a curated record.